Molecule: ribosomal RNA, 497 nt
Filed under: uncultured bacterium
Lineage: Bacteria
Description: partial 16S ribosomal RNA
Rfam family: Bacterial small subunit ribosomal RNA
Source: RNAcentral
GAUGAACGCUGGCGGCGUGCCUAAUACAUGCAAGUCGAGCGAACAGACGAGGAGCUUGCUCCUCUGACGUUAGCGGCGGACGGGUGAGUAACACGUGGAUAACCUACCUAUAAGACUGGGAUAACUUCGGGAAACCGGAGCUAAUACCGGAUAAUAUAUUGAACCGCAUGGUUCAAUAGUGAAAGACGGUUUUGCUGUCACUUAUAGAUGGAUCCGCGCCGCAUUAGCUAGUUGGUAAGGUAACGGCUUACCAAGGCAACGAUGCGUAGCCGACCUGUGAGGGUGAUCGGCCACACUGGAACUGAGACACGGUCCAGACGACUACGGGAGGCAGCAGUAGGGAAUCUUCCGCAAUGGGCGAAAGCCUGACGGAGCAACGCCGCGUGAGUGAUGAAGGUCUUCGGAUCGUAAAACUCUGUUAUUAGGGAAGAACAAAUGUGUAAGUAACUAUGCACGUCUUGACGGUACCUAAUCAGAAAGCCACGGCUAACUACGUG